RNAcentral lists this long non-coding RNA (726 nucleotides) under Lynx pardinus (Iberian lynx). The record is from RNAcentral. Lineage: Eukaryota; Metazoa; Chordata; Mammalia; Carnivora; Felidae.
CUCGCUUGAGCACAGUCCAAGAUGAAAGUUUCUGGGUUGUUUCCCUUCGCUUCCUCUCACCCUCGCUCCCCCUCGGAGCCGCAGAGCCAGCAAUUGUGCAAGAAGAGCCGGGUGUGCAGGGCGCGUAUCACCAAGCGCAUGGUACGAGCCGCCGACUCUGGUGAUUAAUUAUCAGUUGCCGCUGGCCUCACACUAACACGUCGGCUUUCCGGGCAGAGCCAGCACACCCAGCCGCCGGCAGCGCGGCCCGGACCGAGCAGCGGCUCUGGGGAGGACGCCGCGGCUGCGCCCGAGUGUGAGUGCGCUGGCCAGCGGGCGGGCGGGCGGACGGGCGAGUGUGCGGGAGCCGAGCCGGCGCUGGCGCCGGCGGGAGCGCAGGGGCGAGCGUGGAGGUGGACGGGCGGGANNNNGGUGCAGGGGAACUGGGACCGGCCGGCACGGCCCGCCACGCACACCGCCGCCUCCUCCUCGACCCCAGGCGCUGGCAGCGAUUCCUGCACAGCCUCCUCUCCGCAGGUCGAGUCGAGCUGCUUCCAGCCCAUGAAGUCGGUCUAGCUGUGCAGAGGGGCCCCUACAUUUUAUGGCUGUUUGGUUGGAGAACCUACUCCAAGACAGCAGACACUUUGAUGAAGUGAUUAAUACAGAUAGAAAGAUACAUUUGUUGGGUGGUGGUUUUUUUUAUUUUUAAUUUCAAACAGAAAACAAAGAAAUAAAGUCUUCCCAUGA